GAUGAAGAACGUAGCAAAAUGCGAUAAGUAAUGUGAAUUGCAGAAUUCAGUGAAUCAUCGAAUCUUUGAACGCACAUUGCGCCCGCCAGUAUUCUGGCGGGCAUGCCUGUUCGAGCGUCAUUUCAACCCUCAAGCACAGCUUGGUGUUGGGACUCGCGUUAAUUCGCGUUCCCCAAAUUGAUUGGCGGUCACGUCGAGCUUCCAUAGCGUAGUAAUAAAACCCUCGUUACUGGUAAUCGUCGCGGCCACGCCGUUAAACCCCAACUUCUGAAUGUUGACCUCGGAUCAGGUAGGAAUACCCGCUGAACUUAAGCAUAUCAAUAAGCGGAGGA
RNAcentral lists this unclassified non-coding RNA (332 nucleotides) under soil metagenome. RNAcentral describes it as "partial contains 5.8S ribosomal RNA, internal transcribed spacer 2, and large subunit ribosomal RNA". The stretch from base 1 to 120 matches the Rfam family "5.8S ribosomal RNA", at positions 35 to 154 of the family's 154-position model. The record is from RNAcentral.